This 779-nucleotide long non-coding RNA is filed under the name Capsicum annuum. RNAcentral's name for it is "long non-coding RNA (CANN_LNC001394)". The record is from RNAcentral. Lineage: Eukaryota; Viridiplantae; Streptophyta; Magnoliopsida; Solanales; Solanaceae.
UGAAGGAAAUCCAUGAAUGUCUACCUUUGUUUUGAUUUCAGUCCUUUUUCAUUCUAAGAAACACCUUCACAAAUAUUAUAUUGUUUUUCACUGGUCUCCGUCAUUCCUUUGAUUGGGAACUUUCCCGACACAUCUACAACAACAACAACAUACCCAGUAUAUUCUCCUUCUAACACAUUUGAUAUAAGAAAUUUGUAAUGUUGUCCAACUUUACUCUUCCACUCUCGAGGCCACUGUUGUCCAUGAUUUCAUGUUGUAGGUUUAGUUUUGUCAUGGAAGUUUCAAUACAUGUAUAUAAGUUUUCUUGGCAGUUGCUAUCUCUACUCACCGACAUUGUAAGCAUAGGAAUAUUGGAAUUUAGAGAUUUCAGAUCGAACCUAUAUCUGUUGAUAUAAGAAAUUUGUAAAUGUGCAGCUCUAUUAAACUGAAAUGUAAACUCGCAAUACUUCUCCUUUCUUUAAGUUUUUAUUCUCAUUCAUUGCCUUAUAUGUAGUAUAGUCAUGGGGCGGCUAAGAUACAAGCAAUAAAUGUAUAUUACGGUAUAUAUCAAAUUCCUUGUAAACACUGAAUAUUUCAUUCGUAAUUUAUCUCAUAUAAAAUAGUAAAAUUUUCUUCUUUAUAUUAAUAUAUAUAUGACAUAAACCAAAAUCAGACCAGAUACCUGAUCAACCUAUAUUUCUUGCCUCUAGUUGUAGUCAAAACACCCAAGUUAGGUUGACUAAAACCAGUGCAGAUCCCACAACGCACCCACAUCCACACCCUAAUCGUGUCAGUUUGCC